RNAcentral lists this ribosomal RNA (171 nucleotides) under Hoya bordenii. Its description in RNAcentral is "5.8S ribosomal RNA". It matches the Rfam family "5.8S ribosomal RNA". Rfam says of the family: 5.8S ribosomal RNA (5.8S rRNA) is a component of the large subunit of the eukaryotic ribosome. It is transcribed by RNA polymerase I as part of the 45S precursor that also contains 18S and 28S rRNA. Functionally, it is thought that 5.8S rRNA may be involved in ribosome translocation. Lineage: Eukaryota; Viridiplantae; Streptophyta; Magnoliopsida; Gentianales; Apocynaceae. The record is from RNAcentral.
UACACGACUCUCGGCAACGGAUAUCUAGGCUCUCGCAUCGAUGAAGAACGUAGCAAACUGCGAUACUUGGUGUGAAUUGCAGAAUCCCGUGAACCAUCGAGUCUUUGAACGCAAGUUGCGCCCGAAGCCAUUAGGCCUAGGGCACGUCUGCCUGGGCGUCACGCAUCGCGU